AAGACUAUACUUUCAGGGAUCAUUUCUAUAGUUCGUUUCUAGAUGAAGCUUCUCUGAUCGUGUAGAGCACCCGAAACCACGAGGAAGAGACGCAGCGUUUUCUCCUGAGCGUGAAGUUGGCUUUUGGUGCUGUUUGUGCAGCUGCCACGGGUCGUUGAUGAUCGUUCUUCUCUCCUGUUUUGGGAGAGUGAGAGGGAGAACUCAGAACGCCGUCUGAGUGGU
This is a small nucleolar RNA of Cervus elaphus (red deer), 222 nucleotides long. RefSeq annotates it as small nucleolar RNA U3. The transcript has a single exon. Lineage: Eukaryota; Metazoa; Chordata; Mammalia; Artiodactyla; Cervidae. The record is from RefSeq and is a predicted model, not a curated record.